GUUUUGACUAGCUCUACCAUGUUACUAGCUGUGUGAUUUUGGAAAAACCACUUAGCUCCUCUGAGCCUCAGUGUGAGUGUGUUUGAUCAUGGUGUGUUCUAAGUGAGAUAAUGUGUAUAAAAUACUUUGCACAUAGUAAGGGCUCAAUUAAAGGCAGUUACUAUCACUUGUAAUGAAUUUGACCUGGUCUCAGAGCCCUCACCUAUUGCAUAAACUCAAAUUUAUAUGACAAGGAAAACGCUACCAGCUCCUUAUGUAACUGAGAAAACAGACCCAGGAUGCCUGAGGAAAUAGCCCCAAUCAUACAAAAACGACUGUGGUGCAGGUUCAGUGUCUCUUGAGAGCUGGUUGGUCUUUGAGCCCCACCUUCAAUGUGGUCUCCAGGGACCAAGGGAAGAACUGAAUUCACCAAGACAGUCAACAGGGAAGAAAACUGUUUCUAGUGGCAGGAGAAAGAAAAACAGGAAAUGCUUUGGUCCAGUGCUCCCAGAUCCCAUCUUGAACAUGUCCAUCACCCAUCACCUCGCUGGUAAUUGCACACACAGUUCCUAAGUUACAGCUCAAAUUAGAUGAGGUGGCCUACAUCGGGGAAACAAAAUAAUUUACUCUGCUAAAUUUGGCCCUGGGAUUCUGCAUUUAUAAAUCCAGCCCAGUGUGGGAUCCAAGACAAAACUCUAUUCCCUGGACAGGUUCUGAUGAGGCAUCCAUCCUUAUUACCAACCCAAUUAAAGUUCCCUGGAAUCGCAAGACUUGUAAAGAGGCAGUAACACCUGUUAGAGAUCACAAGUUCAGGUGCCUGCAGAGGCCAGACAAGGAAUAUCAAUGAAUAAAAGGGCCAGGCGGGUACUGUCUGACUCGAAGGGCACUGGUCUGGUCUCAGGGAGGCAGCCAAUAACUGCCAUGUGGAAUAUGAGCCCAGGGUUGCCAACCCCAGCGCUAACACUUACCAGCUAUGUGGCUUGAGGCUAAUCACUUAACCUCUCUGUGACCCAAUUUUCUCAUCCUCAAAACAGAGAUAAUAAUAAUGCCCAUCUCUUAGGAUGAUGGUGAAAAUUAAAUGAGUUAUGUUGUUACAUAGGAUACUGCCUAUCCCAUAAUAAGACAUGAAUAACGUUGGCUAUUAUUAUGAAGUCAGUAGUUUUGGUUUUUUAAUGGAAGUUUCCAGGCCAGGGACUGAACUAGAGCCACAGCUGUGGUAAUGCCAGAUCCUUUAACCCACGGUGCCAGGCUGGGGAUCGAACCCAAGUCUAUGCAGUGACCUGAGCCACUGUAGUCAGGUUCUUAACCCACUGUGCCACAGUGGGAACUCCAGUUUUAAAUGAGGGAUUCUCAUAGCCAAUGAUGGGAGCAAGGGUAUUCAAGCUAUUCUCAAUAUAGAGAGGCUAAUGGCAUGAGACAAGACCAAACUAACUAAAGAACUUAUUUGGCUGGAAGGCUGGCAACUAAUGUAUAGUCAUGCUGGGAUUCCCCUGCUGGUUAUUACCUUAUUCAACUCUUGCUUAUGUCUCUAAUUUGUUAAAAUUUGAUUAAUUUGUUUUAUGUGGUGGAUUUGGUGAGCAAAUAUUUUCCACUAUGGAGUCUUGGGGAUAAGACUAGCUGGAUUCUUGGUGAGAGGAAAUUUGGGGACUGUUCUACAACCAGAAUAUACAUAUAGGUUUACCACCAAAUAUGCUUAAAUCCUUGACUUCAUGAUGUUCAAAAGGAAACUCACUGGUCAUGGAUGGAGGCUAUGAGCAAACCAACUCUUUAUUGUGAAAAAUAGAAAAGGAAGGGAAAGAAGCAUUUAUCCUGGCUCUCCUAAAAUAACUAUCCCUCAGGCAAGCCGAGUAGCAGGUGACACUUUGUAGAUAUAUUCCAAAUAACGAAUGAACACAGAGUUAGAGAAUUAGAAUAUCACCCUUUCUGCAGCCCCUACAGAGUUAAUGAGUUUAGGAAUGAGCAUCAAUAGCUCCCAAGAAAUACAAAAUACCUGCUAUGGAGUAGUCUUACAGAAGAAAUAAACAUAAAUUUAAUAACCCUAGAUCCAACUACCAAUUUACAGGAGAAAACAACAGAAAAAUAAGUUAAAGAAACCAGGAGGAUAUAGCAAAAUAAAGAGUAGGGGAACCUACAGGAAGAAGAGCCCAAUUUCUUCAAUAAUAAAUCGCAAGGACAAAAAAGUUAGAGAUGAAGGAUUUAUGCAUUUUCAAAGACUUAAGAGACAUAUCAACCAAAUACAAUAUAUGGACUUUAUUUGGAUCCUAUGGUAUCAAAAGAAUGGUCUCCAAAGAUGACCCUAAUCAUUAGAAUCUGUGAAUAUGUUAUCUUACACAGCAGUUCCUAACACACUUGGGUAUGGAAUCCAGGAUGUCCCAAAGCUUGCGUUGGUUUGCUCGUGGCCAGACCCAGGACCUGGCUGCUUCUAGGGCAAGGUCUGGCCUACUGUGAGCUGGCUGGGUUCAAAGGGUUCAAGAUUGUGCUUUUCUUGCACCUGGCAUAUGACCCUGGUGGGCGGAGCUUGUCCAGAGGCUAGAGCAGUCUCCCUAGGGGUGGGGUCAGGACCCAAGGGAUUCUGGGACUGUGGGCGGAGCUGGGUUCUGGACCCUCUAGUGGGCAGGGCUGGGGCCAGAGGCAGCUGCUGUCAGGUGGGGCCAGGUCUUGGCACUAAUGAACCAGAGGGAGGAUUCCAGGGUGUCUGCCAGCACCAGCGUAUCCCCAGUAGAAGGAGCUCCUAAGAAUUGCCACCGAUGUCUAUAUCCCCAGGGUGAGCCACAGCUGCCCUCCCCAACCCCCACCUUUCAGAGGCUCCAAGACAGAAGAUACCACCGGCUCAGGCGCCUAUCAAAGUACUGCUUUAGCCCUGGGUCCCAGUGUAAGUGAGAUUCUGUGCACAUCCUUUAAGAGUAAAGUCUGUUCACCCAGCCUCCGGGGACUCCUGAAAUGAAGCCCCCACCAGCCUUCAAAGCCAAAUGCUCUGGAGGCUCCUCUAACUGGCGCAGGACCCCCAGGCUGGGGACCCUGAUGUGGGGCUCAGAUCUCUCCUUUCUGUGGAAGAACCUCUGUAGCGCGGUUAUUCUCCAGCCUGUGUAUUCCCACCCGGGAGGUUAGGGGACUUGGCAGCAUUAUAAGACGGCCCCUUCUGCACAUCUUGUUGUGGUUCCUUCUUUAGGUCUUUAGUUGUAAACAGUCUUUUCUGGUAGGUUCCUGUCCUUUUCCUUGAUGGUUGUUCUGCAGAUAGUAGUGAAUUUGGUGACCUCAGGGUCUUUUUACUCCACCAUCACAGCCAGUCUCCUAUAGUCACCUGCUAUCACAGGGCCACUCAGGCUGGAGCAGGGCCCAGCAGUCAGGUGGGCGUGGCUUUUUGGAUAGCUGGUGUACAGCUCAAUGCAUCACUCUGGUCUCUGCCUCCAUCUUCACAUGGUGUUCUUUCCCCGUGAGUGUGCCUCCAAACUUCCCUCUCCUUAUAAGGACACAGGACACUGGAUUUAAGGUGUGACUUCAUCCAGUGAGACCUCAUUUUAACUUGACUACAUCUGCAAAAUUCCCAUUUACAAAGAGGGUUUCAUUCACAGGUACCAAGGGUUUAGACUUCAACAUAGUCCACCCACUACAGAUGGCCAGGUCUUAUUCCAAACCCCAGCAUCCCUCUAUCUAAGAUUCCUCUAAUUCAGUGAUGCCAAGUCAUAUGGCUCCAGCAGCAGGGCUGCUCAGACAGCCAGCUUGGACCCACUCCAGAACCCUUUUCUUGCCUCUGGGUUCUACUGAAAAUCUAGCAGCCUUUCUUGUCAUGCAACAACUGUACUAGAAAAUUAUUUUGAAGUGUAAAAUAAUCUGUCUUCAAAAGAGCCCCACCAAGCAUUGUGCUGCUUUUUUAGUGGUUCAAGGUGCAAAGGACAGUAACUUGUCCUCAACUCAAGAGGGGGGUGCCUCAGAUGACGGGGCCCCUAAAAGAAAUCACUGAUUUGGUUAGCUCCUGAAUCUUUAUAGGUCUCUUACCAAAGCAUCCAGGGUACUUAUCACCUUUUGUUCAUCACAUUAGAUUAACACAAAGUCUGUGUAGUAGAACAAUGUGAUAUUCUACAGAAUUUCUAGGGGGUCCAGAUCCCUUUGGACUGUAAUAAGGCAGAGAAUUGGACAUUAACAUGUCUAUGGGGAAAGACCUUGACCUUAUCUGCGACCUAUCCCAUGCAAAUGAAGGCAGCCCUAAUCCUCAUUCUUGACAGUUAUCAAAAAGAGUGCAUUCACCAGGUCAAUCACCAUUCAUCUUCACAGCCUCAGCUCUGAUACUCUGCUCUAGUAAAGAUCCUACAACUAGGAGUUCCCGUCGUGGCGCAGUGGUUAACGAAUCCGACUAGAAACCAUGAGGUUGCGGGUUCGGUCCCUGCCCUUGCUCAGUGGGUUAACGAUCCGGCGUUGCCGUGAGCUGUGGUGUAGGUUGCAGACGUGGCCCGGAUCCCGCGUUGCUGUGGCUCUGGCGGAGGCCGGUGGCUCCAGCUCCGAUUCAACCCCUAGCCUGGGAACCGCCAUAGGCCGCGGGAGCGGCCCAAGAAAUAGCAACAACAACAACAACAAAAG
This 4554-nucleotide long non-coding RNA is filed under the name Sus scrofa (pig). Its description in RNAcentral is "lncRNA (ENSSSCG00050037249.1)". Lineage: Eukaryota; Metazoa; Chordata; Mammalia; Artiodactyla; Suidae. The record is from RNAcentral.